This 468-nucleotide ribosomal RNA is filed under the name uncultured bacterium. Its description in RNAcentral is "partial 16S ribosomal RNA". It matches the Rfam family "Bacterial small subunit ribosomal RNA", at positions 28 to 507 of the family's 1533-position model. The record is from RNAcentral.
GACGAACGCUGGCGGCGUGCUUAACACAUGCAAGUCGAACGGAAAGGCCCUGCUUUUGUGGGGUGCUCGAGUGGCGAACGGGUGAGUAACACGGGAGUAACCUGCCCUUGACUUUGGGAUAACUUCAGGAAACUGGGGCUAAUACCGGAUAGGAGCUCCUGCUGCAUGGUGGGGGUUGGAAAGUUUCGGCGGUUGGGGAUGGACGCGCGGCUUAUCAGCUUGUUGGUGGGGUAGUGGCUUACCAAGGCUUUGACGGGUAGCCGGCCUGAGAGGGUGACCGGCCACAUUGGGACUGAGAUACGGCCCAGACUCCUACGGGAGGCAGCAGUGGGGAAUAUUGCACAAUGGGCGGAAGCCUGAUGCAGCAACGCCGCGUGCGGGAUGACGGCCUUCGGGUUGUAAACCGCUUUCGCCUGAGACGAAGCGUGAGUGACGGUAAUGGGUAAAGAAGCACCGGCUAACUACGUG